GCCGCUCCCCGGGGCCGUCCCCUCAGCGCCCCGGGCGGCUCCGAGCCGCGGAGGCCGCCGCGCCGCGCGCAUCUGGUAGGGAACUUCGCCUCCCGCCGGGGCUCCGCGCCGGGGGUGCCGCUCGGCCGUCCCGCCGCGGGGGGCCCCGGCGCCGGCGCGGGGGUGCUCGGACGGCCCCCGGGGCUCCCACCCCCCCCCGCCGCCCCCGCCCCGGGCGCCGCGCCCCGCCCCGCCCCACCGCCCCGCGCCCGGGGCCGGCCCGGACUGCGCGGCGCCAGCCCCGUGACAUCAGCCCCUCGCCGCCGCCCCCCCCGCCCGCGCCGCCCGGGCCCGGCGGCGCCGCUCAGGCGGCUGCCAUGGCGACCGGGGCUGCGCCCGCGGCGGCGGCAGGCGGCGGCCCGGCCCCGCUUCCCCCUCCCGGGCGCACCUGCAGCGGGGGCCGCCGGACGCCCCGCCAUGCCGGGAGGGAGAGGGGGCUGAGAGGGGGCGGGGGGUCCCGAGGAAAAAAGAGGGAAAAAGAUUAAAACGGGGAAAAAGCGCGCGCGGACCGCCUGACGGGAACGCGGGGAGCGGGGCUCCGCCGUCACCCCCCGCUGCCGGCUCCUGCGCGCCGUGCCCGCAGCGGAGCGCGCGUCUCUAAAGCCUCCAGUCAGAAUGUCAGUGGUUUAACAGCCUCGUGUGUGAGCCGGCAAACUUGACUUAAAAAAAAAAAAAAAAAAAGAAAAAGGAAAAGAAGAAGAAAAGAAACCAAUCGGUGAUCAUCGGCCCGUUCCCGGAGCGCUGUGUCCCCGUGCGGUGCGGGCCGCGCUCCGUGCGCGCAUCGCUUCCCGCAUUCAGCCCGGGGGCGGAGAUGGAGCACUUCGGUGGGCUUUUAUUGCUUCGUCGCUGGUUUUUUUUUUUUUUUUCCCCUUCAGAGCGGGAAAAAAAUAUAUAUAUUUAGUUACAACUUCUGCGAAACGCACCGGUCUGUAACAGCGUUUUGUGCUUUCACAAAGGAUUUUCCUGUUACUUUUGUUCCGGUCACAAAAUUAAAAGAGAAAAGAGAAAAAAAAAAAAGGCGAAAGAGAACAAAAAAAAAAAAAAAAAAAAAAAAAAAAACUUGGGGGAGAGAUAAGGUCUGGAAAACAAUCUGGAAUUGCCAGGCUGUUGGUGGGAGCUCUGCGGGGCUGGCGUCAGGAAGUCUGCGCCGCCUCUCUGACUGUUGAUCCAGCUUUGUGCAGCUGCACUCAGCACAAUUAGCUUGUAGAAACAAUCCUGCUGUAGGCAGCCUCUUCCCUUCAAAGUGCUUUUCUAUACUGAUCCCCUCACAUCGCGACGCUGGAAAUCAAGUCACAAGCCGACCACUGUUUGGCCAACAUCAUCUGUGGGAAUUCAUUAACCUCCAUCCCAGAGAUGCAACAAGAGAUUGUUUGUCCAGAACUAAACUUACAGCUUAAUAUGAUGUAGCCCAUACAGGAAAAAACCUGUGUCCCCAUUUUUUUUUUUUUUAAUUUUUUUUUUUUUUUGGUGCAUAACAAGAAACACAUUGUGCAGCUCUUUUCUCCUCUUUUUUUUUUCCUUCGGGGGGUGGGGAGCGGAGCGGGGACCAGGCGUGAGUCGGCUCCUGCUAAAACUUUGCCGUCGAGCUGCUUUUGGGUUCGUCGGGCUGCAGUUUCCAUAGAAGCAACUUAUCCCCGCGAUCAUCUUGUUGGGUGCACUUUGCAAGCUCAUUUCCCGUCUGAGUUUGCUCCGCCGCUCUCAGAUGCUGCAGCUGACACAUUUCCUCCCCGUGCACUUUGCACCCACCUCAUCCUUGCCCAGAUGCUCGGGGCUGAUUGUGCCUAAAGGGGGUUUCAUUGCGCUCCGCAGCUGCCUCGGGGGAAGGGAGCAUUAUAUAUUUAUUUUGAGUUCUGCUUUUCCCCUUCUCCAGCAGGCCUUCCUCACUGCCCCGGCCCGGCCCUGGCACAACGAAGCGGCCCCCAGCCCCCGCCUCGUGCCCGUCGUGUACGAGCUCUGCCGGUGACAUCGGGGCCCUGUCCGCGUGGGCGGCCCUGGGGAGCAGCAGUGGGGACCUCGCCCUGCUCCCAGGACUGCUCCUGGAUGCUCUGCCAUAGUGCAGAGCCCCCGGGGUCUCGCCGGCGGCAUCCUGCUCCCCGUCACCGCUGCCCGGUGCUUUCAGCCACCUCGUUUGGCCACGUGGUGCACAUUGCUUCCACGCUUCCAUUCUGAACCUCCUGCUGCGUCCCAAGGACGGCUGCCCCCUUCAUCCUCGCUUCUGAAAUGCUCCUUUGCCCAUGGCUACGUUCCCCUGUCCCCAGAGCCACCUCUCAUGGAUCCCGCAUCCCUAAUUCUCAGUAGUACCACUGCUUCCCCAAAUCCCACUUUGCUGCAGCAGGUCUGGGCAAUCCCCAGCAUGUGGUCACACCUUUGCUAGGUCCCUUUUCCAAACUCCAUACUCUUCUGUGCCUUCUUUGCAGAUGCCAUGGAUCUGCCCCGGCAAGACCUUCCCCCACUAUGCUUUUGAAUAACGUUGCUUUUGUAUGGCGAUGUUUGCCUUCAUCCCCACUUCUGCACAUCCCUCUGCUGCUGCUGUUGUAUUCCCAAGCUUGGAGGCUUGCGAGGUAUUGUACCGAAACAUACACGUUUUGUCAUUUCUUCCUGGACAUCUGUGUUUUGGGCAGCCAACGCUGGGCUACAGGAUGGACGGGUGUCUGUUCUGACUGAGCUCUGACGUGCUUAUUGCUUUAUGGUCACGCUCCCAGCUCUGCAGGAAUGCCUUUUUACUCAAACUGUAUUUUCUAGCACCACCCUGUGAAGAGGAGCGGUGUUGUUUUGCAGUCACGAAGUCCAAGUUCACACACUUCAGUUCUGAUGUUUCUUCUGUCAUGUAGGGUUUCUGGUCUCUGCAGCGGGACCGGUGCCCCGAAGGCAUUUCUGUGUGUGUUAACUGCCACCUGCAAAGGGCUGUUGCUGAGCUGAUGCUACUGGAAGAAUGUUGCCACGAAAUCCAUCUGAAGGCAACAGCUCUCUGGCAUAGGAAGUGUUACUGGUGGGAGGUGUGUUAGAUCUGACUAUUAACUCUUGCCUAUUUACCCCAAAGCAACUUGAUGGUUUUUUUUAAUCUCUUAAGUAUGGGAUAAUUCCCACUAAUUUCUUGUCUGUGCUUUAGCUAAGUGUCUCUAGAAAUGCUUGUAGGGAACCAGUUGGGUGGCUCUGUAAGUUCUGUGAUUGCGCUAAAAGUGGGGAUCAAACAAUUCCCUUCUUACAUAGGAGAUGGUCUUCAGCUACCCUGGCUCGCCCAGUGAUACUUCUAAAUUUGUAUUUAAAGUAGUAAAUGUUGCAAAUUUUACACCCCUCCACAAUUCCCUGCAAGAUCCCCUUAGGAUAGAAAGGAGAGUGGAGCUGGUGCUGAGGUUACUGACAGCACCUCACCUGCACUGAGGAGCAAACCGAGGAUUAAAGAUGGGCUUGUGCCUGUGUUAGUCACCUGCCCAGCUGCUCCAGCUCCCUCAGCCUCUCUGUUUGGCCUGACUUUGGUUUGCAGGCACAGAACUGUGUGAAUAAGGUCACAAAAUGCUCACGUUCAUUUCACUGGGUAAAGGAAGGAUUGGAAACUGCAUCGGUGGGUGAAGAUGUUAAUACCUGUUCCAGGUCGGGUCUCCACCCCCAGCUGUCUUACAGCUUAAAUCUUAUGAUGAUUAUGAGGAUAGCUACCUUUGUAUAGAAUACUCUGUGCAUUUGUUGUUACUCAGUAGUAAUAAUGUUUCAUGAACAUAGGGGAGGAAUGAAGUCUGCGCCGCAGCUGUUGUUGGUGAAUCCAUUAUCCUGCCUUCCUUCCCAGCACUUCACCUACGGGAUGAAAAGCCUUGUACUGUUAAGUAAGCAGUGUUGAUCCAGUGGUUUACUGAAGCUGUUGGUGGUUCUGUUGGGAGAGGGCCCACAGCAUUCUCAGUGCUUUUUAGCUAAUGCAUAGAGCAAAAUAUUUUACAAUCAUUCCGCUCAGGUUUGGGUGCUGGAAACGCAACGGAACAAGAUGUGUGCAGUGAAUCCCAGAUGCGCCCUCUGAAGUCCCACUGAACCACAUGAGUUCUGGAGUUUCUUAGGCUGUAAAAACUUUGCUUCUCUACGGACCCGGAAUCUGUGUUAUCUAGGUUAAGCUGACUUUCUUAGCCACUGUCUGCUGCAUUAACCCAACUGGGAAUCACAAAAUAGGUACGUGUCUAAGUCUCUGGAGAGGCCUGGUCCAGGAGGUGUGCUCAGAUCAUGCUUAAAUGCACAUUGACAGCGUGGAGCUUAGCACAAAGCACAGCAGCUGUAGCUGCUGGAAAGUUUAAGGGGGAGAGAGGGAAAAGAACUGCUUCGCUUUUAGAAAUUGUUUUUCUCGUGAGAGCACUUGCCCUGGAAGUGAGAGAUUCAAUACUCUCCUCAUUAGAGAGGUGUUACGAACUCCCUCCCGCUUGUAAAGCACCCCCAACGACCAAAGAUAAGGCUGAGGUGGAGGAUACCCACCCAUCCUGUUGAAGCUUGCCGCUGUAAAGAAAAGGAUGCAAAUUUCAAAGGGCCAGAGGGAUUACAAACAAGAGGGAGCCUGUCACUGUAGCUCUGGGGCAAAGGCAUCUCUUGGAUGGCAAGAAGCUCGAAUGCCAGGCCUGGCCUGGCAGGCUCACCCAUUCUUGAGGGUGAGGUUCAUCUCACCUUAUCUUAUUUACUUAGAAGUUUGAUGUCUUGUCUCUCCACAGUCAGUGAGAAGAGAGAACAAGAGACACCUGCAGAGAAUGAUUCAUUCUGUGCCUGUUCGACACCGCUCUGGAUGGAACAAGUCUCCUUGCUGGGUGUUGUCUCUCCCCAUCAAUUCUCAGCAGAAGCUAGACAACCAGUUCUGACCAGAAGCCUGACUUACGGGUGCCACGUGAGAUGAAUUGUACCACAGAUGACUAAUUUUUCUCAUUCAUCAUACCUGCUUUUGGCCUAUAGAAGUUGGGUCAUCAAGGAAGAUAUUGAAGAGGACAGGCCCCAGUACCGACCCCUGAGGAACACCACUCGUGAUCAGUCGCCAGCUGGAUUUAACUCCAUUCACCACCACUCUGUGGGCUCAGCCCUCCAGCCAGUGCUUUACUCAGCAAAGAGUGUAUCUGACCAAGCCAUGAGAUGCCAGCUUCUCCAGGAGAAUACUGUGGGAGACAGUGUCAAAGGCUUUGCUGAAGCCUCGGUAGACUGUAUUGACAUGCAUAAUAUAAUCACAGAAUCACCAAGGUUGGAAAAGACCUCCAAGAUCAUCUGUUCCAACCAUCCCUCUACCACCAGUAUUUCCUGACUAACCCAUACAGAUGGACUAUGCCAGAGUUGGUUCUCAGACUUUCUAGACAACUAAAAACUAUGUUUUUCUUUGUUUUAUGUUUUUCUGUGGGAGUUGACACAUUUUAGGUAAAAUACUUGAAACAGAGAGAAAAUGAGCAGUGAUUAACGCACUUUCACCAAGAACGUAUUCUUGUUAUGGUCUUGUGGAGUACUGGAGAUUUACAGAGCACAAUGUGUAACCUCUAGGCCAAAUGCUCGUAGUUGUAAGCUUUAUGCAUUUCUGAGCCAUAGUUCAGCCUGUUGUUGGAUGUGGUAAUCUUUGAUUAUGGGACUGCUUAUUCAUUUGCUGAAAAGAUGUGACUUAUGUAGUUGAGAGAGACUGUCUUCAGUGGAAGCCUUGCCUCAGUUAUUGUAAGAAGAGGCAAGAUACACCCAUAAAACUGCUGAAUUCUGCUGUGGAGGAAUUAAUUCAAUCCAUGUGUCUGCCACAAUGUUUUUUUUGUGAGAUGAUAGUGAUGGACAAGUCACUUCAAGCAGAAUUUGGUCAGGAGACUGUUUAGCACAUGGGAAGUCAGUGGGAGUUGUUCUUAAAUAUCUUAAGUGUAAUGAAAAUGCCAAGCACUAUGAAGUAACAGGUCCAAGCUAUCACAAGCUUGGCAGCCAGAACUGGAGUUAUUAACCAGUAUGUUUUCUGGUCAGCUGCUUCACAAAUAACCAUUGUCUUAAAGUUAACAGAUUAUCAUUUUUUCCUUGAAAAGUGAAUGCCCCUUUUGAGGGUAGGACAGAGUAUAUUCUAGUGAGUGGUUCAUGAGUUGACAGAUGCUUAUUGUAAUAAGUGACAUCCCAAUUUCCAGUCAGCUUUUUGGAGACUGCAGAUGGAUUUUAGCUCCUGGUCUCCAACCAGGAGCUCACAGUUGGUGCAGAGCUGGUGAGGUGACCGCCAGGAACCAAGUGAAGCCGGCAGAGAGUGAGAGAAGAAAGAUAACACCGGCUUGGUUGGAUGGGGCUGGAGGACCAGGGAAGGUACCAAUCACAGCUGAGUGAGGCCUUGGAGCCUGAAGAAGGAGGUCUAAAGAUUAAAGGGGAACAGGAGAGAAGGAAAAUUCAAGAUUCAUAUCCCUUACCAUUUCUUCUUCUUCUUCUUUUUAAAUUUUCAUUUGAAAUUAAGAACUAAAAUAAGGAACAAUGCUCAGAAAGUGAAUGCUUCUGGAGACAUUUCUUGUGUGUCUGUGCCCUUUUAUAGGUACAACAACGUAUGGUGCUUUUCACCCUAAAUCUCCUGACUUCUGGGACACAAGCUCGAGAUUGAUGCCAUGAGGUCUAUAUUAACCAUCACAUAAGUGGAAGUCUCUGGAAGAGACUCCAGAGCUGGUAGUUUGGGGCGUUCAUCUGAAACACUGGGAAUUACCAGUUGUGGUGUGAACUAGAGAAAAACAGGCUACAAAGUGUUGGUCAUUGGCAGACCUUUUAAACAUCAGGUCACUUCUCUGAGAAUUUCCUCAGGAAAUGUUCAGAAUAUUCUUGGGUUUCUUCUGAACCAUGUCAGUAAGACAUCUGAAAUACUAACAAGUGCCACAAGGUGAGAAAAUCAUUCUUCCUGACCUGGAUCCAUUCAGUGCAGUUUGGGGUACAGGAUCUUUCCAUUACAACCAGCAUCACUUUGAAGUCAUAUCUGAUACAGAACUUCUGAAUAGUUGCUGGUAUUUGACUGUGUUUGCAGAAAUUGUUUAGUACACGGUGACUGUGUUCUGCUUCAGUGUUUUUUUGUCUAUUUUUAUGUGAGCUUCUGCUCUGUUUCUGAUAGCGUUUGUAUAGAUUCUAUCAAGGAAAACAAAUGUCAUGGGGAAGUUUUAGGUAAUUUUUUUGCUGUCGGGGUGUUUUUUGUUUUUUUUUUUCCUUCUGUAAUGCAGAUGUUCCUAUUUUAAACCUGGUAAAGGCAUUUCCAUCUGAGACGGUGAUACUCUGCUUUGUACACAGAGCAGAGAGAACAGAAACACACCUUUCAAAUUGGCUCAGGGAGCAAUGUGCAGUAUACCAAUUGCUCUCUUUUCCACUGCUGUGGACAUUCCUCUGCAGGAUAAGCAGGCUGCCCAUGUGGUUGCACAGGAGUGGCUGUGCAAAUGACAUGAAACAGGCUGUAGAUACUCCUUUGGUGGAGACCCAGUAAUCUUGAUGUUUUACACACGUGGGGCCUGAUGAAGAGAUGGUAAAACCCAGGGAGACUUUCCCCAUCAGCCUCACAGCUUUGAAUUCAGUUUCAGGUGCAGUUGAGGAUGUAUAUGAAGUAUACAGCUGGGAUUUGGCUGGGAGAACACUUGCCUGUGAGAGUGGAGAGGGAAUUUUUUUCACUGCUCUGGGGUGGGUAUUGGAGGGGAAUCGUGUGCCAUAUCUUCCUGCUUUCCAAUCCAAGAUGCCAAAGUCUACCGGAGCACACAGUUGACUAGUAUAAAAUGAUACAUGCAGACCAGAAGUGGAAUACAUAUUGAUCAGAAGUUGAGUACGUGCUGACAAACCACCUCAAAAAAAACACAGUAACUUUGGCUGGAUCCAUAUGGAGCUGAUGAACCUCUGAAUGAAUAGUGAAUGGAAAAACUGCUGGAAUCUGCCUUCAGCUUUGUUCCCAGGAUGACCAAUGUAAAAGGCCUAAGAGCAAUACUGCACAGAUGGUGUAAAGAGGUUUAUGAGCAAGCAAGAAGUAAAGUGGAAUCAACAGGGAUGUUGUGAAUGGCUUUUGUAGUCCUGCUGUCACUGGGGAAUCAUGCACGUCUGCCGGUCCUGAAGCAUUUCUUGGUUGUUUAUGAGGGCUGAAAUCACCUCCUUUCAAAUUUGCCUUUUGGACUCUGCACCACUGUGGUAAAUAUUAGGUUAGCACGGGGCUGUAUAUCUGAGCUGAAAGACAACACCUCCAGCAAUACCGUGUCCUUGGCACUGUGUGGCUUCAGGUCUGACUCAGAUGGAUAAACGCCUUUGGAGGAGUGACUUGAAGUGUAAACCACACUAUCUGCUUUUAAUCUUGGAUUCUUUCCAGCUCCAGAUUUCACAUCUCUGUUACAGGCCAACAAACAGCCCUGGGAUCCAAAAAAAUACCUUUGCAACCACGCUCUAAUAAAUAAAUCUCUUUCUAUUGAUACAUACCUCUGAUAACUUCUACUGCACAGUGAAUACAUUGAUGGAUGUAUAUUAAGUGCAAAUGAAACAAUGCACAUUGCUGUGUGUAUUCAUUGUUUUUAGUAAUUGUUUGUUCAGUGAAAUAAGAUUUCACCGAGCAGUUAAGGAUAGUUUAGCUAUGCUUAACUUUUAUUAAUAAAAUUAGUACCUGAGGUGGAAUGAUUUCUUAGCAUCAACCCAAAAUAGCAGCAGGCAGAGCAGGUAGAAUAGACAUUGUCACAAGGAUUAUAGUAUUUACAUUCUGCUGAUGGUUACAAGUUCUUGAUGACAAACCAGAUUGUAUUAUAAAAUGCUAAAUUAAGAAAACAUCACACAUAACUUUAUUUUCCAUUAUUUUAAAGCAGGUUUGCGUGAAAAACAUUCACUUCUUUUUUCUUGAGAAUAGCCAUUACACAGCCCCGUGCUCUGAUCUUUUCUGCUUCUUUCACUUCGCUUUGCUUUUGCUCUUAUUCAGAACACAAUAAAUGUCACCAAUUUCUGUACACCUGGUGUAUGAAGAAGACAAAUACAAUAUUCAUCAGAGUGCCAUGUAGGCCUUUUUCUACCUCUGCCACUUUUUCGGGUAAAUUCUACUUAGCAGCUCAUUUCUGUUAAACCUUGGUGGUUUACAAUAACCUGGAGAUCCUCCUUAAGUGCUAGCAAAUGACUUAAAAAUAAACAAGAGUAAAGCCGGGCUGUGUAUCCUUCUGUGUAUUUAAAUGUGACCUUUAUUUUUUUAAGUUGCAUUUGGGAAAAAAAAAAGGCGUCAAGUUGUUGAAAGAUGAGUGCACUCCAUUAUGCUGUGCUCAAGGCUCUGAGAAAAUCCCAUUGAGUCAGUAACACCAGCCAAGCCUAGAGUGCUACAAUGCAUUUUAAAUACAUACUGGAAAAAGAAAAACAAAAUGAAUUUCCCGCAUUUAACAUUGCUGUAGUUAAUAAAGCGUAAUUACAGCAAAUGCCAGGAUUUCUUUUCAAUGGCAACCUCGUUGGCAGGUGGUUGUGAUGGAUCAGGUCAUGGCUUGAGAAUGGAAAUGCUCGUGAGAAUCAGCCCAGGUCCUUCCAAGCACACAGGUCCGGGCGUGGAUACGGGUGGAAGAGGGGCCGUGGAAGAACAUGGCUGCCUCCUCUUUCUGCCCCCUUCUAUGUUUCCUCUGACUCAUGUUACCAUCCUGAGGGGAAUUUCCUCUCCGCUCCCCCCUUGGUAUAUAUAUUCCAAGUUCAGACCCAUGUAUGCUCAUUUUUUCUCUGUUUCAUGCUUCUUGGCAGAGGGAGAAGUCAUUUAAAGCCUAGUACCACAUUGCAUACUGGGAUGUCAGUCAGGCCUACAAAAGUGUUGGUGGUACUGGAAAAAGAAGUUAUUUUGCUAGAGUAAAGGGAAAAAUAGAAACAAGAGGAUCUGAAAUAAUGAAAGAAGGCUUAGUGUGCAUGAAAACCUGGCACUUUUCUAAAGAACAUUUAAAACUGGAAACCGAGUUACUACAGUUCAGGGCUAUUUGAAUGACAUUUGUGAAUAGUUUUUCAUUUUUUCCCCCCCCAUUAAUUGUUGAAUAACUUACCCAGAAACACAUUUGCCCCUUUUUGACCAGCUUUAUGUAUGGUUGAAUACUCUCCUCCAAAUACAUUAUUCAUACAUUUCGAGCAAUCGGUGAAUAAUUUAUUCAAGAUAUUAUUUUCCAUUAUUCCAUCCUCAAUUCCAUGAACUGUGGGGAAACUCCGACUCUGUUAAAGUUAGUGAAAAAAUUCAGAAUGGUUUGAACGAUGCCAGGACUUCACCCAAUUGAAAGUCCUUUUGAGAACCGAGUGUUGCUUUUUUAAUGGAACUUCCGCUUAAAUAUUAACAGCGAAUGCCUUCCUGUGAGUUUGUCAACGUGUAGAAAAAGUCAUGAGCAGGGAUUACUUCAGCUUUUAUUAAGCAAAGUCAUUCAAGUUAUCAUUUAAAUAUAGAUAUGUGAGUGCAUAGUUAAAUUGCUCUUUGCAAGAUGUCCACAACAGAAUAUUUCCUGUCAUCUGAAGUCCUGCUUUGCAGUGAGCACAACCCUACGGCAGUUGUAGAAGAGUAGGCUCAGGUUCUGACUGGUCUCCAGUUCUCAGUGUUAUUAAAGCUAUUCAGGAGUAUACCAGAUUUUUUUAUUUUUUUAAUUAUAGCAAUCUUUCCAAGUGUUUGGCUUUUGAGGCAUAUUUAACUGUUCUGUUCUUUGAUCGGAUAAAAAUGUUUUGAACGUCUCAAAAAAAAAUCCUGGCAAAACGUAUCAGUUUUUUGUUGAAUAUUUAUUUGCAUUUUGCAACCAGUUACUGUAAUUGUGAUAUGCCAGUCUUAAUUCUCCCUGGAGAUAUGACGUGAAUUUUCACUUCCUGUCUUAAAUUUAUGUUGUGUAACUCCAUGCAAUUAAAGCUAGGCUGGCAGCGUGCCACUGUUAGUGGGUGAAAUGAUUCCUAUGUAAAUACUUCGUUUUGUACAGCUAAUUGGCAAAUGGUAUAGAGUGCUUUGGGAUCCAUCUGGAGAAAAGUUGCUGCAUAUGUGUAUGGUCAUUAUUACUGUGUUAUCUCUUUACAUUAACGUAUACGACUGCUUUAUUAUUUGCUGAGCUUCGGGAGAGUACUUAGUACUAUACAGAAGUACAGGGAGAAAAUACUGCUGCCCCACGGAGCUUACAGUGGUCUUGGCUGAGUGGGACAGCAGGUAUUGAGCUCUGUGAAAAUCGUAGGUUGAAUGUUCACAUUUCUUAUGAAUGGAGAUUUAAAACUAUCAUCUCUGCAGCAUUACGGCUAAGACGUUUUGUGCGAGAAAGGUGAAAGACAAGUGAAAAACAAGAGAACACAACCUGAAAAAGAGCAGAAAGUGAGAAUGGGAGGAGGAUUCACAUGGGGCAUUUUAGAGAUAGCUUGGAAGAGGGAGGGGAUAUUGGGAAACUUGCGCAGUUUGACAGUUAUGAUGGAGGGAAGGAAGGAGGUUGUAAAGGAAGAUAAAUGGGUGCAGAACAAAACAGAGCAGUGAUUUUAGGACUGUGAUUUGUAUUGGGCAAUGAAGAUAGUGGCAGUCUGGAGAUUAGCGGAUUGCAUAACGGGGGAAAAUGACUGCUGACUGAUGUCUGGGGAUGGAGAAGAGCUGGAGAAGGGAAGAUGAAGUGGUAAAGAAUAAAACUACACAAAGUAUAGUUUCAUAAGCCCGUGUAAUACAGAAGAUUGUGAUAACUGUUUUAAAGAAAUUGCUGUUUGAAAUUCAAAUGUUGACGUGAUUUUGUAGGAACAGGUGAUGUGAAAUUUCACUGAAAGAGGAAGAAGAACUGAGAUAAAAGGCUGGGUUUGGAUGUGGGUAACUGAAAAUGUGGCAACCAUUUCAGGAGCUGCCAGUUCAUUAAUUAACUAAUUUAUUAGUUGGCUUUAAACUCAGUUAGACCUUUCUCUAAAGCUGAAAGAUUCAGACAAGGCAUUUCUUUAGAAGUAAAUGAGAAAAAAAAAUCCUACUCCUUUUUUUUUUUUUUUUCCUUUUUAUUUAAAAUUCUUUGUGGAAAAAGAACAGUGUAUUUUUCCUCUGUUGCUCAAAUAUGUUGCUAAAACUGAUCAAUAAGGCAUGGAGGAUCUUGCAUUUUUGCAAGCAUGUGUUAAAUAGGCAUCUGCAAAGUAAGAUACCGGAACAGCUCUCUGAGAACCAUUCAUGGUUUUACUUAGUUGUUUGUUGGGAUUUGGAUAAGUCACUACUUCUACAUCUCAGUUUUUUUUUGUUGUUCUUGUUUGGUUGGGUUUUUUUUCCCUCAUACGCUUAGAGUGUAGUAUUUUAUCUCUGAAUUAAUUUAUCUGUUUAAAAUGUUUAGGGUUUGAGCCCUGUGAGAUUUUUGUCUUGGAUUUAGCUUACCUCAUCAAGGGUUUUGGCAGCUGCAGACUUGAUUUAGAUCUGAAGUGAUUGGAGUGAUGCUCUUGAGGUGUCUUUCCAUUUUUAUUGGCAAGUCAUGGAACAAAGGGAGACAGUAUUCCAAAUGGGUACCUCAUGGAGAUGCCUAUGUUGUAUCAGAUCUCUUCAGAUCUGAACUGUGUCUGUGCAAUGCAAAGCAUAAGUGGGAAUACACUUUUGGUGUACUUAUGGGAUAUUUAAGCUUCGUCACCCUAAUGUGAAGGUCACGAUUCAUUGCCUACGUAUGGAGUCAGCUCUGACAGCUCUGGAUUAUGGUUGAUCUGAAGGUAACGCUGUUCUCUUGAACUAGACACUAUGCUAGUUGUGAUAUCCAAGUUAGCCAUAUACAGUUGGAAUAUGAUCCCACAACAAAACAUAUAGUGUAGUGAUCCAAAGAAUCAAAAAAGACAGACUAUUGAAAUCUGUAUCAGAUGUUGUGUCUGAAAUACUUCAGCUUUUCUCUAGAGGGAAAAAGAGCUUGCUGUAGCAGUUGCAUGAUAUCAGCUGUCAAACAAUCUUUUAGCAGAAAACACUGUAUAAAGUAUUUUUCCAACGUGAGAAAUUAUACUUUUUGCAAAUGUAGAAAACAGCAUUAAUCUUAGCUGUUACCUGUAUCUUGUGUAGGUAGGCUGUGUAGAUCAGUGUGGAAGGCUUGAGCAAAUGAGAAGAACUGUUUAAAGUAUACAGUUAAAUUCACUUCAUAUUACUUUGAUUAAUAGUAGGUUUUUUUUCAUGCAUCAGAUCAUUUUGCACUAAUUUAGUACAACCGUGUCUGCUUAAUAACAAUCAAUAGUAAAUGAUUUCCUGCUUAAAUAUCAAUUGAAAAUGAGUGAUGUCCUGCUUCCAGCUGCACUUAGUGUCAGUCAUUGCACAUGGCACUGUUCGUCACAAGUGAUUUGUCUAUUAACCACUUUUUUAUAUCUAUAUCUCUAUAUCUCUAUAUCUCUCUAUAUUUAAGCCUGGUUUCACCAAGCCAGGCUCUGGGAUGUUAUUUAUGUUGCAUUUUAUAUGACUAGUCUCAGUGCAACCAGUCAUGUAAUAAAGAUGCCAUUUUACUAGAGUGAGCAUUCACCUGGCCCGUGAAUUGCUGCAUAAGCAAUUAGAAAAGUUUUUGUUCUAAUUCCUUUGUAGAUGAAUUAAAUGAAUGAAACUCAAAUCUACUUUAACGAUUACAUUCUGUGCUUGGGUAUGGAAACGCUGGCUGCAUUUAAAAUAUGGCAAAUAGAUGCUAGUAGAAGGAAGGCUUGGAAGUACUUUUCAUGGCUGUUUUUUCUUCUGAUGCUAUGUUAUUUUGCUGCCUGUCCGUUUCUUGUGAAAGUUGAGCCAAAAUGGCUGACAAAAUCAUAGGCACAAGGCAUUAUUAUGGGCUAGAAAGCCAUCUUGCAGCUAUGCACAGUACAUCAUCCCUCUUUCCAUAUGUCUUUGCUUACUGGUGAAGAUGAGUAGGUGUUGAAGUAGGAGGCACUACCUGAAUCAUCUGAGGAAGAAAUAAAUCGCAUGGGCAGGCAAUCUCCCGUUGUCCUAUCUGCAGGUAGACAGGUACGUUGCUUCUUCAUGUUCAGGUGGCUGCUCACUGAGAAAUGUACUUCUGUUGGACUUUGUUUUCUGCUUUAGAACUGCUUCUCCUGGAUUAUUACACUCCUUAGAGGAGAUCUCUUUGUUAGUCUCGAGCAAGACAGAUGCUUUGGCUUGAGCUGGUAAUAGUGUUGUUAGGGGGCUGACAAGCUGGGUGAAUUUGCAGUGUGGUUGUAUACGUCCUCUUCAGUCACCAGUGCUGUGUUUAACUUCACAACAUAUUCCAUCUGUGGUAGCUAACGUGGGUAUGGAAUUUAUGACUGCGAAGACUAUAACAUACCACAAUACAGGAAUGCCUCUUGAGCUGAAAUGAUGUUUUUAAUCAGUACGUUAAAUGUUGUAGUUGAUUGACAGAUGGCUUUUUCUAUUUUCUGGAAUGAAUGUACUUUAACUUAAUUGUAACGGGGAUAUCACAUCUUGUAUAACACCUUUCAUGCUAAUGGGUAUUAGAGAAUUUUAAAAUCCACGUGCAAAGAGUACUUCAUGCACCAUGGAAAUGCAACCACCUUGGGUAAAAUGCAGAGAAUUUAGGUGGAGAGAAUGUAAUUACCCAUGCUGGAAUUUGGCCAGCACACUGAGAUUAAAGCCCCUAAUCUUACAAAGAGUACCAUGGGAUCUCUAAUGACCACAAAUGGUCAGAUCACAAUUUUAUGUCUCUGCCUGUAAUGCUUUACUACAACAAGGGCAUUUUCAACUGUAUGGUGCAUUCAUUAUAAUUAUACAGCUAAUUUUAUUCUCAUUGUAAUUUCCAACAAUAAAGUUACAAAAGUGCCACUGAAAUGUACGAACAAAACGGCAUGACACUACAUUAUGUUAAAUACAUUUUUGGGGCAUAUUCUGCUCUCAUCUGCGUUGGUAUAUUUCUUUGAAGCCAAUGGAAUUCCUCCAGAUUUGCACCGAAAUAACUGACAAGUUGUCUUUACAAGAGAGCAUUUUUAUGUACAGACAUUGUAGAUAUGCUUGAAAAGUUAAAUAUUUACACUCUGUCCGAGUAUGGGGCAUUCUGUCUUCUUUUAUUUUUAAAUCCAUAAAAUUGUUAACAGACCCAUAAAAAAAAAAAAAAAAAAAAGAAAGAAAGAAAGAAAGAAAGAAAGAAAGAAAGAAAGAAAGAAAGAAAAAGAAUCCUAGGGCUCUAUGCCUGUUGGUUAACCUUCACCACAAAAAUUGAUCUGUGGGAAUUUCUCACAGUGUAACAUACUGUAUCCAAUUCCAUAGUUAUUACUGUAAACCUAUUAGUGCCACCUGGGUUUGCAUAUCCGCAGUGCUGUCCAAGUGAAGACAGAUUAGCUCUAUCACAUGUUAUGCCAGAGGGACAGCCUCACGAGGAGUCUGCCCUCAGGGAGAAAAAAAAGGGCUCAGACCUUUAAUGAGAAUACAGUGCUUUAUAAUAGCAUUUGGUGGCCUAGAGAUUUUCUGUCAAGUCAUUUCAAAUUAAAUUGGCAGCCCUGCAAUGUUCAGCCCGUAUGAGUUUUUGUGCUGCCUAUACUGCUAAUGUUAAACCAAUCCUCACAUAAGAUCAACAGAAUAUACAGAGGCAGCGUUUGCAUCAAUCCCUCUUUUCAAAGUGUGGGCCUUUAUAAGCUGCUGAAAAAAAGCUUUCUCCAGGGCAAAUUUUAGCUCUGGGCUGAAUUUUUGUGUGGAGAUUCAGGCGACUUAUUUGUGAAAGUAUUUGUAAAUUUACUUGUAAAAUCAAUUAACUUUUCUACAUAGCACAGUCAGGAAAUUAGUAACCAGACUAGAAGUGAACGGAAUGACUUUGUUACCAAUUAGAGUGACUUCACUCCCACUCCUUCCGCCUGACUCCUACUGGAAGGGGGCAGAAUUUGGCCCCGAGAAUACCAUUUAUUUUUGGUACUUCCAGGACUUUCCUUAUUAAAAUGGCUCCACCUGAAACCAGAUAUUGAUAUCCUCUUUCUUUGAGCAUGGUGGAGACACCUUCAAAAGUGGAGAACCACAAAUGGGGAAGACAAAUGCAUCUUCCUUUAUGAAAACACCCAGAUGCAAACUUGCUGGAGUUCAACUACAGGGGAUGUAUACACAUGUGUAGCGGACAAAGUUUUCCUCUCGUAUUUCUCUGCUGCUGAUAACUUCUGGUCAGCAGCUUUGUUGUCACCUAGGCCUCUCUUAAGGACAAAGACAUGAAGAGAAAUAGCACCGCUGGUUCCACUGGUCCUGUCAUGGGGAGGGACCAGGAGCCUAUGUAGGGAAUGAUCUACAGGGUUAAAAAAAGUCACCUUCAUGAAUGAGGUAUUUUUGAAGACGAAAGCAGGAUCUGAAGUUGGAAACUUCAUCAUGGAGUGCGACCAUGGUGCAUACUGCUAUCUAGCCAGUGAGGUUUUUCUAUUAACACUGACCCAAAGAGAAGCUCCGAGGGAUGAAAGGGUUAUUACAUGACCGGACACCUUGGGUCACCUGGGGACUGUUCUCCUUCUCCAGAUACAGCCUAUUUUGAAACAAGGACACUUCACCUUUUCCUGUUGAAACUGUUCCUCUCUGUGAAAGAAACUCACAGGUAUGUUUGCCCACAGAACCUGAGUCAACUCAGAUGUGAGGAGAAGUGGGAGAUCUUCAUCUCUGCUCUUCUACAGCCAUUCCUGCUGUACUUGAUCUGAAAGAUAUGUGAAGUAAAACAUUAGCAAGAAUGCUGCCAACAAUGAGAUAAAUGAAGGAUGCUUAGUGGCGGAUAAUGCUGAAAGUUGAACUUCUUUGACCGAAGAGCUACAGCUUCUUCACACUGUGAAGACUGAAGUGUUUCUAUUCCUUAAAGGAGAAUAUAUGAGGAAAUUUGGGUGACUUUAAACGCUUGAAAGAAUUUAGAUAGUGCCAAAGCUAAGCAGUAGAUGAGUGGAAAAUUAGAACAUUGAAUUUUGUUUUAAAUCUCAUCUAAAUCACCUGAAGUCUUGAGUAGGUCUAAAACUCAGCUGAUGUGUGUUUAAAAUAGCUACCAGUGGGAUGGAUUUGUUGAUAUUUAUCUCGGGAAUGUUGUGCUGAUAAAUGUGUCAAGUUCUCACCUAUUACAGUAAUAACUGUACCAUAUAUGGAUGUAGACAAAUAAAAAGGUGUUUUAAAUGGCUUGUAAAACUUGGCAGAGGACAAAUCUCAUGAAUGCUUCUAGUUGAUCACUAGGCUAUCAGAACUCCCUUUACCAGUGUUGGGUGGUUUUCUACAUUGUUUCUGUGCAAAAUACCUGUGCCUCCCAUGAGCUGUGAAUCCAGUUUUUCAAGAGAUCAUUAAACAUGAAAGUACUAAACAUCCUAAUUCUUUUCCCCUAAAGUUAUAUCUCAGCAUUGUCUUCAUCAGUAGCCUUGUCUGCAGGAAGUGUAAAGUUUCCUGCUAUGAUUGUUUGAAUGCUGCCAAUUAUCAGAUCUGCUUUUGGCAGCUUUCCCCUCAACCUGCUGAUUAGCUAAUGUGUGGUUACUAAUACAAUAUGGGAAACGGGUGUAAACGAGGAAGCAAAAGAUUUAUUAAUUUCAUGUGCUAAAUACUGUUUGUAAUAUAAUUAUCAAUACUGUGAAAAGAAAUCCUGGCUUCUUGUGAAAUGAGGCACAAGAAUUUUGUAUGGUAAACAGGCGUAUUUUCCCCUUGAUGCACACACAAUUUUCAUUAGAUUCAUAGAAUUUAAAGGCAGAAGAGGGACCAUUAGAGCAUCAAGUCUAACUACCUAUAAAACACAGGCCACAGAAUUUCAUCCAGUUACCCUGUAUCACAAUUAAUGGAAAGCAGGAGCCAGAUCCAGAGCUGGAUGCACAGCAGCGUUACCAAGCUGGAAUAAUGGUGGUUUAUACCAGCCGAGAAAUUGGCAGUGAAAAGAAAUGACAGCAGUUUAUGGAUUCUUUUUUUGCAUAAACCUAAAUGAAAUUGGUGACAUAUAUUUUAAUAGCAGUGAUGAAGGAGCUUUGAUGAAAGUGAGUUUUGCAAAAUAUUUUAAGCUUUAGAAGAAAUGUUUCUUUCCAAAGCCUUUCUGGGAUGACUGUGUUCCCAGUUGUAAUCAAAACUUGUCCCUCCACUGGAGGAAAGGCACAAAGUUAACAGAAGAAAAAUGUUUCUCUUUAAAUUGAAACCUGUGCCAAGAUUUGUGUGUGUAAUUAAUUCGAGCCCUAGGAUUUUAGCGGGAGAAGGAAGGACUAAAUAAUGCAAUAAAAGCCUGAAUUUUUCUAGAGCCAAGAGCUUGAACUCAAAAGUUCAACGAUUAAAAGUCUCAGGCGCUAAAAUGUAGAACCCGUGAUUUCUUUCAUUAGGUUCUAUAUUUGGCAAAACAAAAUGUCUCAUCACUCUUCUGUAGCCGUCUGUACGUGUGUGUGGACGAUGUUAUUAUACUUACUGCAGAUAGAGCCUUAUCAUUUAGCUACAGACAGACUUCUACCUGCUCAGAGCUACAGGGUUGAAGAAUGCACUCAGACAAUAUUGACAUAGCCAACGCCAUAACAUCCUGCAAUCUGCACAUAAACGUAGGCAUUCUGAAGACCAAAGCUCAACAAAAAAACUUCCUUCCUGCUGCCCUAAGCCAGGAGAGAGUGUUUAAAGGUAAAUACUGGUGUGGGGAGGAUAUCCUUCAGAUUCCCUCAGAUUCUCCAUCGUGUCCUGUCAGUUCUGUCUCAGGAGAAGGCAAAAUCUUUUCUGCCAUGUGAUGCAAAAAGCUGUGUCUAUGAUGUUAGCACGCAGAAUAUAUGCGUAGGUUGCCCCAAAAGUAAUGCCUCCUAUUUAUUUCCAUGGAAACUGCAACAGGUACAAAGACCACAAUAACACUGUUUGACAGAGAAAACUUUCAGCUACAAAACACUAUUUUUUCAACAUAGUCACAACCACUAGCUAUGCAUUUUUGCCAGCAAUGAACAGGAGCCUGCAUGCCGCACUUGUAAAAAUCUACACCAGUGCAGAUUACCCACUGUCACUGUUUCCACUGCUGAAACACACCACCCCUUGCCUCACUGUGCUCACAUUCACUGUUUGGUCUCCAUCAACAUUCAGCAAGCACUGGUUAAUGUCACUGGGUGCCACUUUUUCUGCAUGGAGGAAUUCAAUGACAUGCCUUUGCUUCAUUUGCACUUCUGUGUCAGACGCCAUUUUGUCAGACUGCCCCUCUGCUGCAGUCACAAGGCAAUAAAAUGUAAUGGUAUACUGACAGAUAUAGAGGUUCAGUCUCUACUGCCAUACCACCACCAUCCACCUCUGAUGUGAUGGGUCAGCAUUAUAAUAUAGAAUGCAUUACUUUCAGAGAAACCCUCAUAGAAAGGAUGACAGCUCCUUAUUCGAGUAACUGCUUAUGUGAAUAGAUAGCAGAGAGCUUCUCCUGUCAUAAUAUUCACGUUCUCAGUGAUUGUAAGUCAAGGGCUGGUUAGAGGCAUUUUAUACUUGCUUAAAAAAAGUAAACGGUAGUCAUAUAUUUUAAUAUUUCCCAUACUUUCCCCAAGAGCUUUUCCUCUUCAAAGUUAGAAGUCUGCCUCAACUUAUAACAGUACAUUUUUUUGUGCCACUGUCAUGUGGAGGAAAAAUAAUUUUUGCCCAAAUAAACAUCAGAACACAUGUUCUAGUGCUUACCAAUAAAUCUUAUUUUUCUUGCCCUGUAUUUACUUUAAACAGGACUAGAGGAUCCAACCCUUCCUUGAGAAAUGAUGUUACUCCUUGUCUUUACCCAGAUUUGUUCCCCAUCCUUUGGGAAAUAUUUAUUUACCUCCUCAUUUACUCGUGUUGUACCACUAUUUGGUAACAACACACUUGCCUUCAGACUCUACAACAGCAUCACAUGCUUCAGCCUACUGCAAACAACAUCUGCCUCAUGAGUACACCAGGCUCCUGAACUGUUCUUACCAAAACGCCUACACCUAAAGUUCAUUCAGCUCUCCGUACAAAAAUUGAGAAAAAAAAUACCUACCUGCUCUAUGCAUCUGGGCAAGACCAACCAACUGACAAUGCCUUAAAUACUGCCCCAGAACAUCAGCCUGCUAGCCUAUGUCAGUUGCUGGCAAUGCGUUGUGUUGUGUAAAGGCUACUCUUCAGUCUCUUCCUUCCUCAAUACAGCAUCAUUUGCCCAAAUAUGUGUGCAGAGUGUGCCAGUAUAUCUUCACUGAGAUGCAACAUAAGAUGAGGCAAAACAUGAGUGCCAUGGAGAGGCCAGACUGGGGAGGUUCUGACUGAGGUCUGAACUGUAUGUUGUGGGAAACUCAGUUUAGCCCUGUGUUUAUUUCUUGGUUCCAUCCUUCAUUUCCCAGGCCUCUAGGCUGACCUCCAAGGAACUUUAAAAAGAUUAUUUUCCAAAGGCUGAAAUUAGGGUAUUGCUGUAGAAAAAUUGGCUAUGGUUUACAGCCUUGCCAAAUUAAAUUUAGCUUCAGUAAAUGUGACAUGAAAUCUGUAUAGUCUCACCAGUUAAUAAAAGUCCUUCUUCAGCCUCAUCACAUAUAAAUAUCAGUAAUAAAAAUUUUUGACAAUCAUAAGAGCACUGUAUUGAAAGAAGCUUUGCAUUUUUAGUCUGGUGAUAAAACACAGUCUGCAUAUAGUUCCAUUUUGUCAUCUGCUUGUGGAGCACUUCUUUCCUACGCUGAAAUUAAAAUUGAAAAGACUUUUUCACUUUUGGGGGAAAAAAAGCACAAUUGAAGAGAGAUUCUUACUGGCAAAUUAAUAGAUAAGGUCUGCCAUGCUAACUCAAAAGCAAGCAAAAGGUAAAAAUUGAAUCUCUUUAUCACAGUUAAGUCAUUUUUCUAAACUGGAAAGUAAUAUAGGAUGGAAUAUAUGGGAUAGAUUCUCUUACAGAAAGUGCUUUCAAACUUUAAAAGAUCCAUAACUAAUAUUGGGAAUGGUUAUAGAUGACAGUCUUCUCUUUUAGAUUAUGUUGCAUUUAUUACAUUCUACCAGGACUUUAUGGAGAUUCUCAAGGAAUUAAAGUUAUAUUUAUGAUAAAAACAUGGAGCUGCUUCUAAAUAGCUUUUUCAUCAUAUUAACUGUUGCCUAGAUAACAGGCAUAUCUCCUCAAGCACCUCCAUUCUGGUUUAGCACUCCAGCUUGCAAAUUAAUACAGUCAUUAUAAGACAGCAAAGCUAUAUCACUUACCAUUUCAUUAUUGUUCAAAUCAAAAUCCACAUUUUUUCAGUUUUCCCUAGGGUUACAAACCGGAUAGGGAAAUGUUAUCAUCUUGCAAAAUAAUCUCUCAAGACUCACUCUUUGGUGUUAAAAGGAGCAGUUAAUCAUAUUACACUAAUUUUCAUAUUAAUAGGACCUGUGCAAAGAGAGAGUUAAUGCUCUCCUUCAUUCAGUCCUCCAACACUUUUUUAGGUACAGAUAUAUUUUUGUAUGUGUAUGGGUAUAUAUUUAUACAAGUAUAUAUAUAUUAAUCUGCUUAGAGCUAGAUUAGCACAAAAGAUAUCACGUCCUACUCAGUAGAUGAAUCAGGGUCAAACCAACAGCAUGCCCUUAAAUUUUUAAUCAAAAUGGCAAUCUGUCAUCACUAAGAGAGUUAGGUAAUGUUUAUGUGAAUAACAUGAACAUAUAGCAUGUUUUAAUGGAAGAUACAGGGGAUAACUUACUGUGCCACAGGGAAGCACUCCAUAGAAUACCCUGCAGAUACUUCACUACUUACACAAGAAGCUACGAUCCUACAGCAUGCAUAUCCACUCUAAGAUGAAAAUUAUCUUUAAACUCGAAUUAUACUUUAUGAGGGAUUAAUGUGCCCUUUACUUUUGAGAUCUUCUCACAUGCUGUAAUUUUCUGAAAUCUUCUCACAUAAUGUUGCUCAGUCAGUCUCAUUUAGACUCAGAGCUUUAAUGUAGUGUUGCCAUUUCUUGUCUUUUUUUUUUCCUUUUUUCUUUUUUUCCCAGCUACUAACCUGAGCAAUGCAGUCUUUUCAGAAGAACUUGAGUAUGAAUUUAGGGAGCUGGCCAAGGAAUCAGGUGUUCUCCUUGUUUUAGGCAGUCUGAACAUAAUACAUGGGACAGCUCUGCAGAGAGCUGAGGGACCUGAUUCUGCCAUGCUCCUUCUCUGGCCUGGUUCAUCACAGAGCUAAUAAGCACUAUGAAUGGGUACGUGGAGCCCAGUGCCAACUUCAUGCAACUGCCUGGCUUCUGAACCAGUCCUCCUACCCCAUGAAGUAGAGCCUACCUCUUCUUUGGCAGUGCUGGAAGAUAUUCCCUUGGCAAACCAUUGCUUUCUGCAGCCAUACGCCCCCACUUUGCUAAGGUCUGUUGUGGUAACAAUGCCAUCUCUCUCAGUGUCAUUACUCUCCACGUCUUUGUUCCCCAGGGGUCUGAUUGAAAUCAAUGGAAAGUUCCCUUGGAUUGCACUGGUUUUGGUUCUCAGUUUCUACUCCUUAAUUCCUCAUCUGUUUUUAACUCAGUUUUCAAUUUAGUCUCAUUCUGCUGCUGCAUUCUUCACGUCUUCUCCCACUUUUUUGUGCUUUUAUUCCUAUUUCUGACCCUCUCGACAACUGUUAAACUAUUUAUGCAGUGAGCAAAAUGCAGAUUAAACAAGUGCUUUCAGCGUUGAGUUGAAAUGUGUUGACAGCAUCACAUGAGGCCUAGAGGAGCCAUGGAGAAGUGGCGCCAUUUUGGGAGAAAAAAAGCUAGAAAAAGAAUUCUCAUCAGAUUGGAGAGCUCACCAUGGUUUUCUAGCAGCACUCCUGUCUGCUUUAAUGAAUUCAUUAGUCCACUACUAUUAUGCAGAAAUAAUUGUAACUGGUGAUAUUUUUAUGACUUGUUUAACGAAACUUGAGGGCAGAUGGAAUUGGGUCCUACCCUCACUAUACCAGCGUAAACUGAGAGCGCUGUUAUUCAGACCUGUGUACUUGUGCUCUUCUUGAUUAACAGCACUUUAAAAGAAAUUAGACUCUACCAUAUUCCUGAAUUUCAGAUUGUGUACUGUAUUUCCAUUUAUAACCUGACAUAAUUCCCACACAGCACAUGGUAUUAAUCUGGUGUAAACACCACGUUAUGAUGAUACUUGAACACAUUCAGCUGAUGUGAAAAUGUCUUCAAGUACAAUAUUUCCAGAAGCAAUUAUGACUAUAUGGCUGGUGGUUAGCUUGCUAUGUGAAUUUUUAUUUCUUAUACAUGUGCACAAAGAUACACAAGAUUGAAUAUUAUGUAAGAAAAAUGAGGUAUUUUUUAGCAUUUGUUAAAAAAAAAAAAAAAGAAGAAGAAGAAUUCAGGAGCAACCACUUUUUUAUUGGCCUGUCAGGCCAAAAUCUCACCUUUAUAUGAACAAACCGCUUUUGUAGUGUUGGAAUUUCCUGUGCUUGCUUUUGAGGGUGGAUGUGUCUUUAGUGCAAGGAAUACAAUGACACAAAGUGAUACUGAGAACAUUUUGGUAUGAGAAAAUUCUCUCCAAAAUAAGCAUUUAAGGAAAUAUUUAAGUUCUCAGUAAGUGUAAUACUCCUGAUGUAUAAAGCUCCAGACAUUGACCUCUACUGGUAAUCAAGCAUUUUUCAGUGUUCACUGAGAGGGGAGAGACACCAGCUUCUUGUCCAGGUAGAUGCCAUGGGUGAAAUUCUUCAGAAAUUGCCUAACGCUGGAGGAAAGCCAAUAAUUUUGUUAAAAAGAGAUAAAUAAAAGCAUGUCUUUUGGAAAGUAAAUGCUAGCGGAUGGUAAUAUUUUUGCUUGAACACUUGCCAGUAGGGCCAGAUUCACAGCUGGUGUAAACUUUUCUGGUGCCACUGAGUUAACUCCAGUUUGAGAUGGAAAAUUCAUUUAUUAGGAUGAAGUGCAGCUUUUUCACAGAUUGCUUGUAGCUCCACCUGCUACCCACACUCUCCUUUUUUUUUAGCCCUUCCUAGUCCUUUUUUCCUCUUGAGAAUCCUUUCUUAAAUACACUCCUAAGACAAGAAAGAGAAGGCAACCUCAGUACCCAUAAUGAAAAGGAAAUGCUCAACAAUGCAGUUCUGUCAUUGUUAGUAUAAAUCUAUAAUGACUUCAUUUCAAUUACUUCCUACUUGUACUACAGUGAUUAACAGUAGGUUAAGCUGUUCACGGUUUAGUAAAGUGAGUGUUCCUAGCUUGUUCCCAUCAUCCAAUGCAAUGUCUUAGUUUUAGAAGAGACACGGAUAAAAAACUGUUGUGAAGUGAGUGGUAAAUCUGGAAUAACUCCAUUGAAAAUUUACACUAGUCUGGCUAAGAAUUUCAUUUUACCCAUUUGGUUGGAUUCCUUUUAAUGGUUUCUGCAUGUUCAAGCAUCCACCAGAGCUGAGAUGGAAACCAGCAAACUUGCUGUUAUCUGUGCUGCAGGCUGGACACCAGAGGUGAGAGGGUAAUGCAUUAUCACACCACACCACCUGGCCCAUCCAACGCAAUUCAAGCAACCAUAAUUGUAUUGAUUAUUUCUUGUGCUCAUGACUAAUGACCUCUAGCUGCAACCUUGCAUUUUCUAAAUCUUUUAUAUAUUCUGAUUUAAUAAUAAGAUUUGAUUAAAAAUUGCCAUUAGCCAUUGCCAACGAUUAGUCAGCAGGACUGAGUGCCGCCAAAUUCCAAUGAGUUUCAUUAUUCUGGAAUUAAAAAGGACAGAGAACUUCUCCGGGUUAACAAUACAAUGAUUCUGUCUCAAUCAGGAAUGAAAGAAAACAACUCUAACAUACAAAUGUAGCAAAAUAUAUGGCUAUUCUUAAUAGCUGCAUUUUACAGGGGAGUGUUUGGAGAAUUAAAGGGACUUUGUCACAGAUGGUAGGAACAGUUUGCUUUGAACUGGAAUGCCAGUGUCAGGUAGUGUUUGAGGGGGCAUUUUUCUAACGGAAGCCAUCUCCUUUGGUGAAACAAGACCUGGGGUUCACUUGGUUUCUCCACCAGCAUCUCUUCCACAACAAAACAAUGCAAAAUGUGUAUAGGCAAAAAUAAACUGGUGGCUUUAAAAAAUGACAAGGGUCAUGGUCUAGGUUAUGUGCCUGCUGAGAACAGAUUAACCUAAGGUUUUCUUUAAAUUAUUAUUAUUUUCAAAACAAUGGCUUAAUAUUUAAACAAAAAGACACGUUGUCACACCUUCCAUAGGAAAUAAAAAAAGUAUGGCCAUUCAGGAAGGUGGAAUACUUAAAUAUAUACUAAUUUUCAGACAUCUAGUGAAAUGCUGUUGAGGUGCUGUCUGGUAUGGAUAUAACUCAGCACACUAGCACACUUCUAAGAGCUCUUCCAAAUCCAAGUCAAGGCCCUGGUGUUCCUAGAGAUGGGAUUCACUGGAGAAGAUGCUCCAUGGGGAAAACAUCUGCUGUGGGAUGUGGUGUUCCCCCAGAUCCCAUUGAAAUCGGUUGAAGGGCUGGGUGACGUUGAAGUCAAUGAGAGCUGAGAGCACUCAGCACCUUUCAGGUUCAGACCUCUAAAUAAUAAAGGACCCCUGAGACACAGUAAAAGCAUCUCCCCCUGUUACACAGGAGCAAGAGAAAAUAUGUCCCAAACCCGAGUCCUCUAAGAUUUUUAGGAUGUUUGAAUAAAUAUAUAUAUAUAUAUAUUUUAGUUUUUGUGUACAUAAGAUCUUUUUUUUUUCACCUUCAGGAAAGUAAUUUCUAAGCAUACUUUGUUAAUAAAGAUUUCUUUUGGCAA
Gallus gallus (chicken) is the source of this 25392-nucleotide long non-coding RNA. RefSeq lists it as uncharacterized. The transcript is spliced from 13 exons. NCBI's taxonomy places the organism in Eukaryota, Metazoa, Chordata, Aves, Galliformes, Phasianidae. The record is from RefSeq and is a predicted model, not a curated record.